Long non-coding RNA from Chenopodium quinoa (quinoa), 1093 nucleotides. RefSeq lists it as uncharacterized. The transcript is spliced from 3 exons. The record is from RefSeq and is a predicted model, not a curated record. NCBI's taxonomy places the organism in Eukaryota, Viridiplantae, Streptophyta, Magnoliopsida, Caryophyllales, Amaranthaceae.
AUUAUCUUUCCUUUUCUUUUUUCAUAUUCUUUCUCUCUCCUCAUAUUUUUUGAUCUCCUACUCUCUCUCUCCUCAACCAAAACCCUAAGCCCUUUUCUUCUCCCUCGCCAUUCCCUUCUUCUCCCUCGGAUUCCCUUCUUUCUCCAUUGAAGCGUAGAUCUGUUGUCUCUCCAUUGAAGCUAGGGUUCGUUACUCAAGUGUUGUCUGUCAUCCUCCUCUCCCUCGCUAGCUUCCUCGUUCAUUCGUCCCUUUCCCCCUCACAACUCCGGUGGAAGUUUAGGGUUAUUUCCGGCGACCAGGGUUCCAAAUUUGCUUAGAUCGAAUUAGAGGUGGUUGUUAGGAUGACGGCGACACUAACUGGGAUUUCAAGGAUUUUCGGCAAAUUCGAAGAAGAAAAAAAACUCAAUUUCUGAAUCCCUAAUUCAUACCAUUUGGAGCUCAAUUUGCAUGUUAUAUUGGGAUUUUUGUUAACAAGGUGGCCUGGCAAGGCUGCAGCUGCUACUGCUUGCCGAAGCUGCUGCUGUUGCAGGUGGCAUGGCAAGACCGCAGCAGCUGCUGCCCUGCCGAGAUUGAUACUACAGGUGGCCUAGCAAGGCUGUAGCUGCUGCUCUUUCCUCUCAUGCUGAGGCUGUUGUCUAGUUGAUGGCUAAUAUGAGUGCUUAAAAUACUGGAGCCCAUUUGGUAUAUGUUGGUGGAUUCAUUGUUAAUAUAUGUUGUCAAUUUUUGUAUAAUCUUAAUUACUUAUUGUUAAUUUUUUCAAUGCUUGCAUAGAGUUUACAAGCUUUGCACAAACCAGAGAACCUAAGCCAGCAACGUGGUGUGAGAUUCAGGCUUCGAACGCUGAAAAUCUAUUCUGUGACUGCGGCUUCGGAGAUGCUGUUGUCUAGUAAUUGUGAUGCUGCUGCUGUGCUAGUGAUUGUAGUGUAGGAAAUUGUUGAUCCUGUUAUAGUGAAUGUAUCCAAUGUUUUUUUUCUUUGUUUUUUUCUAGUGUAAAAUUAAAGGUUAUCAAUGAAAUUAUCAUUUUCAAGUAUGUUAUGUAUAUAUAUAACAGUCUGCUACUAAUUUUAGGUGAAAAAAGAUUUUUUUUUUGUUA